UGUGCCAGCAGCCGCGGUAAUACGUAGGGGGCAAGCGUUGUCCGGAUUUAUUGGGCGUAAAGCGCGUGUAGGCGGCCAUGCAGGUCCGCUGUGAAAACUAGAGGCUCAACCUCUAGAGGUCGGUGGAAACCGUAUGGCUAGAGUCCGGAAGAGGAGAGUGGAAUUCCCGGUGUAGCGGUGAAAUGCGCAGAUAUCGGGAAGAACACCUAUGGCGAAGGCAGCUCUCUGGGACGGUACUGACGCUGAGACGCGAAAGCGUGGGGAGCGAACAGGAUUAGAUACCCUGGUAGUCCACGCCGUAAACGAUGGGUGCUAGGUGUAGGGGGUGUCGACUCCCUCUGUGCCGAAGCUAACGCAUUAAGCACCCCGCCUGGGGAGUACGGCCGCAAGGCUAAAACUCAAAGAAAUUGACGGG
This 415-nucleotide ribosomal RNA is filed under the name uncultured Actinomycetes bacterium. Its description in RNAcentral is "bacterial SSU rRNA". It matches the Rfam family "Bacterial small subunit ribosomal RNA", at positions 504 to 917 of the family's 1533-position model. Lineage: Bacteria; Bacillati; Actinomycetota; Actinomycetes. The record is from RNAcentral.